GACCAGGUCUUUGUAGACCAGGCCCGGGAGGGUUUAAUCCUGGUGGGAAGACCUUCCUCUGAUAAAGUCACUGUUUUCCAGUGUGGCAGAGCCUAGAAUGUCAGUUUCCAGGGGGAAAAGACUGGUGUGUGAAAUGGGCAAACGCCUCUUCUGAAAUCUCUCCAAUUGCUCUUUUCACCCCGACAGGCUACAGAAUAACGUCCAUGUUUUGCUCCAGAUCGUCCCACUCUUCCACGGGAAAGGCAAUAGCUGCAGCAGAGUUAGCUGAGUUUCCAAACCUGAUGUGAUCUCCUGGCUGGAACGAGGGGAGGAGCCAUGGGUCCCAGACCUCCAGGACUCUGAGGAAAGAGAGACCCUGAGAGAUACCUGCACAACAGGUGAUGGGAUGGUGAAUGAGGUGGAAAAUCCUCAACAAGACGAUGCUGAGCAAGUAGAAGCAUAUGGGACGUUCUCAGAAAGAUCCAAAGGGAAAGUUUCCUGGAGUUGUGCACAGACAAACUACCGUGAGAGUCAGAACAGACCAGGAAAAAAGUUCAGUAGAGGCUCAGACCUUAUUCGACAUGAGAGAAUCAACACAGGAGGAACACCCUUCAUCAUCCAUCACAGAAUCCACACUGGAGAGAGACCAGACGCAUGCCCC
Non-coding RNA from Chrysemys picta bellii (western painted turtle), 640 nucleotides. Lineage: Eukaryota; Metazoa; Chordata; Testudines; Emydidae. The record is from RefSeq and is a predicted model, not a curated record.